UUAUUGGUUUUUUAAAAAGAUUUAUUUAUUUACACAAGAACCGGGACACAAGCCAGACUCGCGGGAGGGUGAGAGGACUCACCAGAGACAGAGCGGGGAGCAGAACAGGCAGACUGAUGAAAUACACUGCUGAGAGGAGCAGCAGGCGCCACAGGAGAGGUCUGCUGCGCCAUGUGGGACCCUCGCCCUUCAGCCGGGAGAGAACUGGUGCUGCAGAGGCUGCGGACAGCUUCACAGCACUGUGCUCAACCGCCUGCACCACCAGAGGAGGCCCUGAAAAGGGCCCACCAGCUAUGAGCAGAUCAUGGUGACAGCGGCCAUUUUGCUUCCACGGUUCAUCUGCGAUCAAAUAGGAGCAGCCGCAA
Long non-coding RNA from Talpa occidentalis (Iberian mole), 365 nucleotides. RefSeq lists it as uncharacterized. Lineage: Eukaryota; Metazoa; Chordata; Mammalia; Eulipotyphla; Talpidae. The record is from RefSeq and is a predicted model, not a curated record. The transcript has 3 exons.